ACAGAUACUGCGGGCGAGUGACUACUGCAUGUGCUUCCAGUGAUGCCGCCACCUCCUCAGGUCACGGAAAGCUCUCUGCUCAGGACGGGUGUCAGGACUCUGACUGCGAUCGGCACUGCAUCCCUCCCAGCUGGGAACAAUGUGUUCAGCCUUGAAGACAUCCAAAGGGGCUGGCCUGAGCUUCCUGUCCACUACCUGUUUUGAAUAUCUAUUGUUCUAAUAAAAGUGAUUUUACCUUUCA
This is a long non-coding RNA of Pseudophryne corroboree (corroboree frog), 241 nucleotides long. RefSeq lists it as uncharacterized. The record is from RefSeq and is a predicted model, not a curated record. The transcript has 2 exons. Lineage: Eukaryota; Metazoa; Chordata; Amphibia; Anura; Myobatrachidae.